RNAcentral lists this microRNA precursor (142 nucleotides) under Physcomitrium patens. RNAcentral describes it as "Physcomitrella patens miR1041 stem-loop (ppt-MIR1041)". The record is from miRBase by way of RNAcentral. Lineage: Eukaryota; Viridiplantae; Streptophyta; Bryopsida; Funariales; Funariaceae.
UGGACAAGUCAUUUAUCUUUAAGUGUACUUUUUCGGGUGAGAGUGGUCCUGAGAAUGAUUGACCAGGAAACAUAACUUCCUCAAAAUCAUUUCAAAACCACCAUCACCUGAAAAACUACAAACUAAGAUAAACUCUGUAAUA